This 323-nucleotide long non-coding RNA is filed under the name Marmota monax (woodchuck). Lineage: Eukaryota; Metazoa; Chordata; Mammalia; Rodentia; Sciuridae. The record is from RNAcentral.
GAUUUGGCCCAGAUAUGCCAGUCUCGUUCGGCAUGAGUACCUAGACUUGUCUCGUUAAGCCAUGGCAAAGUGACACCCACCCCUGAGUGCUCAGUGUACACACUGACAUUUUUGGACCAAGAUGAUUCUUUGCUCUAAAAUAAUUACCUGGAGCAGUUCUACCCAAUAGCACCGUCUGUAGCAAUGACCAAGCCCCAUGUCUGUGCUGAGGAUCAAACCCAGUGCCUCACGCAUGCUAGGCGAGCUUACUACCACUUGAGCCACAUCCCCAGCCCCAAACUGCACUUUAAAUGCUACUGAGCUUUAAUCAGUGCAGAUUCUAG